Molecule: ribosomal RNA, 726 nt
Filed under: uncultured bacterium
Lineage: Bacteria
Description: bacterial SSU rRNA
Rfam family: Bacterial small subunit ribosomal RNA
Source: RNAcentral
GUCGAGCGGUAAGGCUCUGCACAGGUUACUUAAAUGAAAAUUUGGGUAAUGUGUGUAGAGUACACGAGCGGCGGACGGCUGAGUAACACGUAGGAACGGACCCCAAAGUGAGGCAUAAGCACCAGAAAUGGUGUCUAAUACCGCAUGUGGCCUUAGGGCUAAAGCUUCGGCGCUUUGGGAACGGCCUGCGCAUGAUUAGCUUGUUGGUGAGGUAAUAGCUCACCAAGGCGACGAUCAUUAGCUGGUCUGAGAGGAUGAUCAGCCAGACUGGGACUGAGAACGGCCCAGACUCCUACGGGAGGCAGCAGUAGGGAAUUUUCCACAAUGGGCGAAAGCCUGAUGGAGCAACGCCGCGUGCAGGAUGAAGGCUUUCGGGUCGUAAACUGCUUUUAUAUGUGACGACUUCGACGGUAGCAUAUGAAUAAGGAUCGGCUAACUCCGUGCCAGCAGCCGCGGUCAUACGGAGGAUCCAAGCGUUAUCCGGAAUUACUGGGCGUAAAGAGUUGCGUAGGUGGCAUUGUAAGUUGGUAGUGAAAGCGUUCGGCUCAACCGAAUAAACAUUACCAAAACUACAAAGCUAGAGGAUGAGAGAGGUUAUUGGAAUUCCUAGUGUAGGAGUGAAAUCCGUAGAUAUUAGGAGGAACACCGAUGGCGUAUGCAGAUAACUGGCUCAUUCCUGACACUAAGCACGAAAGCGUGGGUAGCAAACGGGAUUAGAUACCCCGG